RNAcentral lists this transfer RNA (74 nucleotides) under Phycisphaerales bacterium. RNAcentral's name for it is "tRNA-Arg". It matches the Rfam family "tRNA". Rfam says of the family: Transfer RNA (tRNA) molecules are approximately 80 nucleotides in length. Their secondary structure includes four short double-helical elements and three loops (D, anti-codon, and T loops). Lineage: Bacteria; Pseudomonadati; Planctomycetota; Phycisphaerae; Phycisphaerales. The record is from RNAcentral. RNAcentral also lists the same sequence under 1 other name.
GCGCUCGUAGCUCAGUUGGAUAGAGCGGCGGUUUCCUAAACCGCAGGUCGUGGGUUCGAAUCCCGCCGGGCGCG